UUCCAUAUAUACUAGAUUAAUUUCAUUAAGUAUAUGAGCAUAUUAUUUUUUACUUACAUAUAUGCUUAUAUUACAAUUAUAUAAACCGAUGUACCAAAAAUAUAGAUGUUCGUGUAGAAAAUACAUAAAAUCACUAGUGAACUCAAAAAUCAUGGAGGCAUCUCAAAUAAUCUUAUCAUCUCAUCUCUUUUAACCUUUUUAGCUUUUAGAUUUAUCACUCUUUAAAGUUGUUAUUAUUGAUGAGAAAAAAG
This 251-nucleotide long non-coding RNA is filed under the name Brassica napus (rape). Its description in RNAcentral is "long non-coding RNA (BNAP_LNC000810)". Lineage: Eukaryota; Viridiplantae; Streptophyta; Magnoliopsida; Brassicales; Brassicaceae. The record is from RNAcentral.